RNAcentral lists this ribosomal RNA (253 nucleotides) under uncultured bacterium. RNAcentral describes it as "partial 16S ribosomal RNA". It matches the Rfam family "Bacterial small subunit ribosomal RNA", at positions 524 to 776 of the family's 1533-position model. The record is from RNAcentral.
UACAGAGGGGGCAAGCGUUGUUCGGAAUUACUGGGCGUAAAGGGCGCGUAGGCGGCCUGUUAAGUCGAACGUGAAAUCCCCGGGCUCAACCCGGGAACUGCGUCCGAUACUGGCAGGCUUGAAUCCGGGAGAGGGAUGCGGAAUUCCAGGUGUAGCGGUGAAAUGCGUAGAUAUCUGGAGGAAUACCGGUGGCGAAGGCGGCAUCCUGGACCGACAUUGACGCUGAAAACCGAAAGCUAGGGGAGCAAACGGG